UACGAAGGGUGCAAGCGUUAAUCGGAAUUACUGGGCGUAAAGGGUGCGUAGGCGGUUGUUUAAGUCUGUCGUGAAAUCCCCGGGCUCAACCUGGGAAUGGCGAUGGAUACUGGGCAGCUAAAGUGUGUCAGAGGAUGGUGGAAUUCCCGGUGUAGCGGUGAAAUGCGUAGAGAUCGGGAGGAACAUCAGUGGCGAAGGCGGCCAUCUGGGACAACACUGACGCUGAAGCACGAAAGCGUGGGGAGCAAACAGG
RNAcentral lists this ribosomal RNA (253 nucleotides) under uncultured bacterium. Its description in RNAcentral is "partial 16S ribosomal RNA". It matches the Rfam family "Bacterial small subunit ribosomal RNA", at positions 524 to 776 of the family's 1533-position model. The record is from RNAcentral.